Molecule: small nucleolar RNA, 198 nt
Organism: Planococcus citri (citrus mealybug)
Lineage: Eukaryota; Metazoa; Arthropoda; Insecta; Hemiptera; Pseudococcidae
Product: small nucleolar RNA U3
Exons: 1
Source: RefSeq, a predicted model, not a curated record
AAGAUCAUACUUUCAGGAUCAUUUCUGUAGUAUGUAUCUUCGCCUUCUCCAUACAAUUAUGGAGUCGAUGUAGCCACGAUGAUGAGGCGUGGUCCAUCAGCCUGAGCGUGAGGCAUGCCUCUAAUGGAGAUUUUCAUUAGAGGUGUACGAUGAUCGCAACUGCCUUCGGGUAGAGGGUUGAUGGACUGGCUGAGUGGU